Molecule: unclassified non-coding RNA, 674 nt
Filed under: Hevea brasiliensis (rubber tree)
Lineage: Eukaryota; Viridiplantae; Streptophyta; Magnoliopsida; Malpighiales; Euphorbiaceae
Source: RNAcentral
AAAAAAGGCAUCUUUAAUUAUCUAAUUCUAGGGUUCAAUGUGAACUGGAAUUUUGGUUUUAUUAGGCAUUGGUUUGAUGUUCAAAUGAUACAAAUUUCAUUAAAAUUUACUCAUUUAGUGUAACUGUAAGGUUUAUGCAGUUAUUAGUUAGCAAUUAAACAGUUUGGCUCAAGGAUGAUUUCUUUUAGCUAUAGAGAUUUUCUGGUUGAAGCAUCUGUUCAAAUUUAGGUACUUCUUUAAUAAAAUUCAAGUUGGAAGUGGGAAUGCUGCUUUGGGUACCGAGUGCUCUCUUUGACAGCCCUUUGGAAAUAUGUAUUUUGGGGUUUUUUAAGGCUAGGAAUGCGUAAGCUUUUGUUUGUACUUAUAUGGGUUCUCCUGAUGGGGAAGUGUGUUGCAACUUGCAUUUUUCUAGGGAAUCUAGAGUAUUUCUCAAUCUUUGGUAUAAAGGGGUUUGUCUUGAAGUGAAAUCAUAAACCUUGUUGGAUCGAAAACAAUGUUCCUUGGAGGGCUAUAUGAAGUAAAUUUGCUUAAUAAAAAUUAUGUUCCUCAGUUUUUAUUUUCGUCUUUGCUUAGGGGGACACCUUUUGCAUUCCUUUUGUACUCUCAUUUGUUUUUCUUCUUUUAUGAAAAAAGAAAAGUUGCUUAAAAAGCAGUGUUGUCAAAAGCGCUAGGCG